RNAcentral lists this long non-coding RNA (1104 nucleotides) under Triticum aestivum (bread wheat). Its description in RNAcentral is "long non-coding RNA (TAES_LNC014485)". Lineage: Eukaryota; Viridiplantae; Streptophyta; Magnoliopsida; Poales; Poaceae. The record is from RNAcentral.
AGAUCUAUGUGUAGGUGCUACUGCUAACAACAGGAAUCCUGCACCAACCAAAGUUUGGAAGUACAUUAUCAAAGACUUGGUCGUUACGUACUUUCCAAAUGCAGCAGGUCUCUAAAUAGCAAUUUCCAUGGCAAAUAGUUUGUUGAUCUGUUCGUUAACAAUCUCUAUCCCUCGAAUAAUUUUGUUGCCUUUUCUCUAUUAGCAUUGCAAGGCAAAUGAAAAAUCCAAGAAAAAUACAGCUAUAUUCCUUGACAUUAGCACUCGAUCCGGCAGAACAUUUCCAAAGCAAAUUGAAAUGGAAUAAAAGAUCCCUCAACUAUAAAUAUGCCCGCCAAAAGACUAAGGCACACCAUGGAAUCAGGAGCCCUGCUGGAUUAGUAGCAAUAGAUGUCAAUAAGGAAGCUCAUAGUUAUAUAAAAUAGCAAUAGAUAAUUUUUUUGACGAAUAGAUCAACAAAAAGAUAAAAAAGCAAUAGAUAUAUUACUAGUCCCAACGAAAAGAUUGAUCACAUGACAGUCAUGAUAUGAGAAGAAAAAAGACAGAUGCAUCAAGUAGCGGAACGGGGCAAGAACACAACCCACUUUAUUUUUUGCAUGUAUUCUCAGCAUAGAUGAAUUAUACAAUUAGAAGAAAAAAUACUACCAUGAGACGGUACAUAAAAGAUCCCUUGCCAAACCCCAAGUAAAAGGCAACACAAUUGUAAGUGAGAGUAAUAAACAUGGUCACAAAGCUGAUGACACCUACAUUGGUAAUGGCCUAGCUCUCUACAGUUUUUGAUGAAGAUUUUGCCCCACGUUACUCACAAUAAGAAGGGAACAUUACCUACAGAUGCGAAAUCACUUUAGAGCAGCCGAAAGAUGAAGAUUUGAGCACCCACUCCACUACUCCUUUGGCAAAUUUUUGGUCAUUUCCACAAUCAAAUUAACAAAAAAUGGAAUGAUCCAAUGAGUCUACAGCACCAACAAAAAUGAAAUCAUGUGCAUUUGAUAGAAAUGUACAUAUGAAUAUAUCAACAAACUUCAACAAAUUGAUAUAUUGAACCCUUUAGAACUGUUGAUGCACAAAUAUUGAACCAUACAUAACUGGUGAUUAUUUGCUAGAUUU